AGGUAGCGAAAUUCCUUGUCGGGUAAGUUCCGACCCGCACGAAAGGCGUAACGAUCUGGGCGCUGUCUCAACAAGAGACUCGGUGAAAUCAUAGUACCUGUGAAGAUGCAGGUUACCCGCGACAGGACGGAAAGACCCCGUGGAGCUUUACUGUAGCUUGAUAUUGAGCACUGGUGACACAUGUACAGGAUAGGUAGGAGACGAAGAAGCCAGGACGCCAGUCUUGGUGGAGUCGCUGUUGGGAUACUACCCUUGUGUCACUGGGGUUCUAACCCGUGGCCCUUAUCGGGUCAGGGAACAGUGUCAGGUGGGCAGUUUGACUGGGGCGGUCGCCUCCCAAAGAGUAACGGAGGCGCCCAAAGGUUCCCUCAGAAUGGUUGGAAAUCAUUCGAAGAGUGUAAAGGCAGAAGGGAGCUUGACUGCGAGACCUACAAGUCGAGCAGGGACGAAAGUCGGGCUUAGUGAUCCGGCGGUACCGAAUGGAAGGGCCGUCGCUCAACGGAUAAAAGCUACCCCGGGGAUAACAGGCUGAUCUCCCCCAAGAGUUCACAUCGACGGGGAGGUUUGGCACCUCGAUGUCGGCUCAUCGCAUCCUGGGGCUGUAGUCGGUCCCAAGGGUUGGGCUGUUCGCCCAUUAAAGCGGUACGCGAGCUGGGUUCAGAACGUCGUGAGACAGUUCGGUCCCUAUCCGUCGUGGGCGUAGGAAAUUUGAGAGGAGCUGUCCUUAGUACGAGAGGACCGGGAUGGACACACCGCUGGUGUACCAGUUGUUCUGCCAGGAGCAUAGCUGGGUAGCUACGUGUGGACGGGAUAAACGCUGAAAGCAUCUAAGCGUGAAGCCCCCCUCAAGAUGAGAUUUCCCAUUCGAAAGAAGUAAGAUCCCUUGAAGACGACGAGGUUGAUAGGUCAGGAGUGGAAGUGUGGUGACACAUGGAGCGGACUGAUACUAAUCGAUCGAGGACUUAACCAA
RNAcentral lists this ribosomal RNA (970 nucleotides) under human gut metagenome. Its description in RNAcentral is "bacterial LSU rRNA". It matches the Rfam family "Bacterial large subunit ribosomal RNA", at positions 1954 to 2925 of the family's 2925-position model. The record is from RNAcentral.